ACUCAGGUGUUGUUGGGUAGGGGAGCGUUCUGUAAGCCUGUGAAGGUGGCCUGUGAGGGUUGCUGGAGGUAUCAGAAGUGCGAAUGCUGACAUAAGUAACGAUAAAGCGGGUGAAAAGCCCGCUCGCCGGAAGACCAAGGGUUCCUGUCCAACGUUAAUCGGGGCAGGGUGAGUCGACCCCUAAGGCGAGGCCGAAAGGCGUAGUCGAUGGGAAACGGGUUAAUAUUCCCGUACUUGGUGUUACUGCGAAGGGGGGACGGAGAAGGCUAUGUUGGCCGGGCGACGGUUGUCCCGGUUUAAGCGUGUAGGUGUGUGUUCCAGGUAAAUCCGGUUCACUUUAACACUGAGGCGUGAUGACGAGGCACUACGGUGCUGAAGCAACAAAUGCCCUGCUUCCAGGAAAAGCCUCUAAGCAUCAGGUAACAUCAAAUCGUACCCCAAACCGACACAGGUGGUCAGGUAGAGAAUACCAAGGCGCUUGAGAGAACUCGGGUGAAGGAACUAGGCAAAAUGGUGCCGUAACUUCGGGAGAAGGCACGCUGACA
RNAcentral lists this ribosomal RNA (545 nucleotides) under Salmonella enterica subsp. enterica serovar Derby. Its description in RNAcentral is "partial 23S ribosomal RNA". It matches the Rfam family "Bacterial large subunit ribosomal RNA", at positions 1211 to 1756 of the family's 2925-position model. Lineage: Bacteria; Pseudomonadati; Pseudomonadota; Gammaproteobacteria; Enterobacterales; Enterobacteriaceae. The record is from RNAcentral.